UACGAAGGGGGCGAGCGUUGUCCGGAAUUAUUGGGCGUAAAGAGCUCGUAGGCGGUGUGUCGCGUCGGCCGUGAAAACCUGCAGCUUAACUGUGGGCGUGCGGUCGAUACGGGCAUCACUGGAGUUCGGGCAGGGGAGACUGGAAUUCCUGGUGAUAGCGGUGAAAUGCGCAGAUAUCAGGAGGAACCACCGGUGGCGAAGGCGGGUCUCUGGGCCGAAUACUGACGCUGGAGGAGCGAAAAGUGUGG
This 248-nucleotide ribosomal RNA is filed under the name uncultured bacterium. Its description in RNAcentral is "partial 16S ribosomal RNA". It matches the Rfam family "Bacterial small subunit ribosomal RNA", at positions 524 to 764 of the family's 1533-position model. The record is from RNAcentral.